This 640-nucleotide ribosomal RNA is filed under the name Bullera alba. Its description in RNAcentral is "eukaryotic LSU rRNA". It matches the Rfam family "Eukaryotic large subunit ribosomal RNA", at positions 38 to 667 of the family's 3401-position model. Lineage: Eukaryota; Fungi; Basidiomycota; Tremellomycetes; Tremellales; Bulleraceae. The record is from RNAcentral.
GCAUAUCAAUAAGCGGAGGAAAAGAAACUAACAAGGAUUCCCCUAGUAACGGCGAGCGAACAGGGAAGAGCUCAAAUUUGAAAUCUGGCGUCCUCCGGGCGUCCGAGUUGUAAUCUAUAGAGACGUUUUCCGUGCCGGACCGUGUCCAAGUUCCUUGGAACAGGAUAUCAAAGAGGGUGACAAUCCCGUACUUGACACGACGACCGGUGCUCUGUGAUACGUUUUCUACGAGUCGAGUUGUUUGGGAAUGCAGCUCAAAAUGGGUGGUGAGUUCCAUCUAAAGCUAAAUAUUGGCGAGAGACCGAUAGCGAACAAGUACCGUGAGGGAAAGAUGAAAAGCACUUUGGAAAGAGAGUUAAACAGUACGUGAAAUUGUUAAAAGGGAAACGAUUGAAGUCAGUCGUGUCUGGGAGGCUCAGCCGGUUCUGCCGGUGUAUUCCUCUCAGACGGGUCAACAUCAGUUUUGUCCGACGGAUAAUGGCGGCGGGAAAGUAGCACCUCCGGGUGUGUUAUAGCCCGCUGUCGCAUACGCCGGAUGAGACUGAGGCAUGCAGCUCGCCUUUAUGGCAGGGGUUCGCCCACUUUCGAGCUUAGGAUGUUGACGUAAUGGCUUUAAACGACCCGUCUUGAAACACGGACC